UACGUAGGGGGCGAGCGUUGUCCGGAUUUAUUGGGCGUAAAGGGUCCGGAGGCGGUCGUUGAAGUUUCGCGUGACAGUCCUCGGCUUAACUGAGGAAGGAUGCGGAAAACUGAGCGACUUGAGGGUGUAAGAGGAAAGCGGAAUUCCGGGUGGAGUGGUGAAAUGCGUAGAUAUCAGGAGGAACACCUGUGGUGUAGACAGCUUUCUGGACCAUUGCUGACGCUGAGACACGAAAGCGUGGGUAGCAAACAGG
Molecule: ribosomal RNA, 253 nt
Filed under: uncultured prokaryote
Description: partial 16S ribosomal RNA
Rfam family: Bacterial small subunit ribosomal RNA
Source: RNAcentral